UUAAAGAGUUCUAUAACUCCCAAACCCAUGUGAACAUACCUAACGUUGCCUCGGCAGGUCGCACCUACCUUGUAGCGCCUUACCCUGUAAGGCCUACCCGGGAGGUGCGGGUAAGCCUGCCGGCGGCCCACCAAACUCUGUUUGAUAUUGAAUUCUGAACCUAUAACUAAAUAAGUUAAAACUUUCAACAACGGAUCUCUUGGUUCUGGCAUCGAUGAAGAACGCAGCGAAAUGCGAUAAGUAAUGUGAAUUGCAGAAUUCAGUGAAUCAUCGAAUCUUUGAACGCAUAUUGCGCCCAUUAGUAUUCUAGUGGGCAGGACCGUUCGAGCGUCAUUUCAACCCUUAAGCCUUCGUUGCUUAGUGUUGGGAGCCUACGGCAACGUAGCUCCUCAAAGUUAGUGGCGGAGUUGGUUCACACUCUAGACGUAGUAAUUUUUUAUCUCGCCUAUUAGUUGGACUAAUCCCCUGCCGUAAAACCCCCAAUUUAUCAAGGUUGACCUCGAAUCGGUUCAGACAAACUCGCUAAAUUGAAGCAUCUUAGUCAGCGAAGGAAAAGAAACCAACAGGGAUUGCCCUAGUAACGGCGAGUGAAGCGGCAACAGCUCAAAUUUGAAAUCUGGCCCUCGGGUCCGAGUUGUAAUUUGUAGAGGAUGCUUUUGGCGCGGUGCCUU
RNAcentral lists this ribosomal RNA (671 nucleotides) under fungal endophyte. RNAcentral's name for it is "eukaryotic LSU rRNA". The stretch from base 180 to 333 matches the Rfam family "5.8S ribosomal RNA". Lineage: Eukaryota; Fungi. The record is from RNAcentral.